This 4676-nucleotide long non-coding RNA is filed under the name Homo sapiens (human). RNAcentral's name for it is "HSALNT0218062". The record is from RNAcentral. Lineage: Eukaryota; Metazoa; Chordata; Mammalia; Primates; Hominidae.
UGAACACAGGUUCACCAGCUGCUCCAUAGGGUCCUGUCCAGCCAGCCUCAAGAGGAGAUGAGUAACAGGCCCCAGAAAGCACACCUGAGCUUGCCUGCACCUGCUCUUACUUGCACCUGAGCCUACCUGCACCUGAGGUUACCAACACCUGAGCUUAACUGCAUCUGUGGUUAUCUGCACCUGAGUUUGUCCACGCUUGAGUUUACCCACACCUGAGGAUACCUGCACCUGACCUCCCUUCACCUGUGCUUACCCGCAUCUGAGCUUACCUGCCACAGCAGUGGAAUGGAGAGGGCACAGCUCAGGCUCUUUCAGCCUCCUCCUUGGCCAGGGCAGGGAGCUGGGUGAGGAGGGCCCACCCUUUAAGAGGAGCAGUCCCCAUGAGGAGCAUGUGAGCACUUGGGCCUGGGCCCUCAUGAUUGCUGUGAAGCGAUGGCCCCAUGACCUGACUCCCAGGCCAGAAAAGGAAGCCAGGGCCCCAAGCUUCCAGGCUGUUCUGUGUGGAAUCCCACAAAGGCAGCCUUAGGAUGUGAGAGAGGUAGGGGAGCUAGAGCUUUUCCUUUGAAGUGGCCCCGCCAUGGCCCCCUCCCACCCAGCCGCCCUUCCCUGGCUGGAAAUGUCAGCAGGGUUUGCAUAAUUGAGACAAUUGGACAUAAUGGUUCUUUCAGAAUCCCCUCAUCAGCUGGGCAGUGUUCGUGCCCCGGGGAGCUGGGAGAAGGCGGCACAUGGCACUAAUUACUGCUAAUCCUUCCUCAUCUAAGUUGGGCCUGAGGUCAGGGUGAACCCAGCUGCAAAUGCAGUGUGAGCCCCACAUGACUCUCAGCCCCUUCUGAGUGCUUCUAAUCCCUGCUCUCCCCCCUUCACCAGGAGCUUGCCUGCUUGGCAUCCACAGUCACCUGAAAACCACCACGGUGGGAGCUCUGUUGGAUUUGCUGUAACAGUAUGCGUGGUUAUUCCAGCUUUCCAUGAGCUUUCUCAGCCCAGGAGGAAAGAAAAAACCCAAACCCUGAACUAUCCCUCUCUGCAGAGGGGCUGGGUCUUCCCCAGCAUCUGAGGCUCUUGGGCAUUGUCCGCCUCCCGCUUCUCACAGAGGAGCAGACAGAUUGGACGUAAGGGCAAUUAGGGGUGUUCCCAUUUUACAGAUGAGGACUCUGAGUCAUGUGAGAGGGUGGCUUGCCCAGAGAGCAGGUGGGGUGGAGUGGGAGUGCCCAGGUUGUCAAGUUCUGCCCAUAUGUAGAGUCCUGAAGCUGGAGGCUGGGCUCACUCCCCCACCCAAUGCCUGGCAGACAGCCUGGGGCUCAGGGAAUCUCUGAACUUCUGACGGAAGCACAUGUGCCAGGCCAUUUUCUGGAAUACUCUCUACAAUGAAAAUAAAACCAGUGACUCUGUAGUGGAGAUAAUCCAUUGUGUUACAGCUUUGUAGCUGUAAACCUGGUUGGUCCUGGAUCCUGCCAUGAGUAAAGGUUGCAGCUGGAGCUUCCGGAAAUUCCUAGCAGAGAGCAUUAUCUGAGCUGGCUUUCCUUCUCAUCAAACUCCUAACAUCUCAUUAAUCCGCAACUCCACUAACUGCACGUAAGAAGCCCCAGUGUGUCACUGUGCUGGCAUCCCUGAGAGUCUGAGUGUAACGUUCUGCCCUUUGCUGGGACCUAAUGGAGGACUUUCAAAUCCCAACACCAUGGCUAACACUUCUGAAGUCUUCACUCUGGAGUGAUGGCAAAAUUCCCAAAAUGUGGGUCCAAUUAUAUGGAAGUUGAUUCGACCUUUUCUUCCUUCAAGAUGUCUGUGUUCCUGAGAAGAAAUGUGGGCAGGAAUAAUGGCAAGAGAUGAUUUUGCCUCAAUCUGACUUCAAGCUUCUUUUGUUGAUAGCAGCAGACUGCAUGAAAACAGGAUCUUUGGGGACAAAAUGAUGCUCCUGAGCCCCAUGUAGGCAGCUGUGGCUCCUCACAGUCCACACGGGAAGACGUCUCAGUGUUUAGAAGAGCUCAACGCAUGGCACCCCUCUUCAACACCUGGCGCCCAGGGCGUUAUUUCUAUCUCCUGUGUCCUCAUGCCCUCUUAGAACGGGAGAGCUCGUAACAGUCUUCAAGUUGAUCUCCUGUUAGUGUCAUGUCCUUAAGUAAUGCUUUAUCGCUUCUAAAAUCUGAAUUUUACCCCAUUGGUUACAAUAACCCAUAAAGCAAAACAAAGCACCCACCCCCCCAAAAAAAUUUGGCUGUACCUAGUAAAUCGCAGUGAAACUUUUGUUCUGGGAAUAGAGUAUUGUUACCCGAAACUUUUGUUUAAAUAAGCACAAAGACUUCGCAUUUUUAUCUUUUGAAAAAAUCUUUGGAAAAGUCUGAAACACAGGCCAAGGCAAGGCUGCUAACAGAAAGGUAGAGAGUGUGAGCAUACAGAGCUUGGGUAGGACAAGUGCUGGAAAGUGUGGCAAUAGAAGAAGGGAUGUGGCAUUCUACUUUUUAAAGCUCAUUCCUUCUUCCCGAGUUGAUUCAGAAAUUGAGUGGCUGGGAGCUGUGGCUCAUGCCUGUAAUCCCUUUAGGAGGCCGAGGUGGGUGGAUCACCUGAGGUUGGGAGUUUGAGAUCAGCCUGACCAACAUAGAGAAACCCCAUCACUACUAAAAAUACAAAAUUAGCCGUGCAUGGUGGUGCAUGCCUGUAAUCCCAGCUACUCAGGAGGCUGAAGCAGGAGACUUGCUUGAACCUGGGAGGUGGAGGUUGUGGUGAGCCGAGAUCGUGCCACUGCACUCCAGUCUGGGUUCUUGAGCAAAUAACACCCUAGUUAAGGAUUGCUAACAAUUAGUCCCAAAUGCUCCCCAGUCCUGGGAAACUUUGCUUAGCAGAGGUUUCUCCAUCUCAUGGUGCCCAGCUCCUUCCUCCCAAGGGGCCAAUUAAACUUUUUUUUUAAUUGGCUGAGAUGAAAAGGCGUGGUGUCCACUUUGAGGGGUUCCUGAUUCAGAGAUAGCUCUUAGAGUACUGCGUCUGCCCAAAGGUGAUAUUCUCUAAACUCGGCCUCUUAGAGCUCAGGCAUUCUCAACAAAAAAGAUUCCACGUGAACUAAAUUUGGGCAACUCUGCUUCCUGUAUUUUCCUCUUGGAGAUUCACAAUGCAUAUUAGGAUAUUAAAAUUCUGAGAAGUCCUGCCACAAAGAACCCCCUUUUCUUUCUUGUAACCCAGCAUUCCUCAAACUCAUUUGCCCAUAGGAUCUUUUUUCUUCUGAAAUACCUCUUAAUAUUUCACAUAACGAAAGUAUCACAACAGAGGACUUGGGAAAAACUCGAUUAACACAAGCUUAACCAUCUGAGGUGCCGGUAAGUGUUCCGUGUUGGAGCAAUCUGCUUCCUGAAGUCCCAUUCAGAAGGCUGGAGCAGGUUCCUGACAGUAGAACCCCUGUCCAGGGCUGCUGUCUUGGCUUUAGGUAGCUAAGAUCACCUCUCACUGUGUCUUCUGCCUGAAUCACCCCCUUCAAAACUCACCACGGCCCACCUUCUCCAGCUGGUGAAUGGUAACUCACAGGAGUGAAUCUCCCAGCCAAAUCAACAAGAAAGGGAGGGCUCCACAGGACAGGACCCCUGAUUCUGCCUGCUCCUCCCUAACUCUCCAGGAAGAGUGCUGCCUCUGAGCCCCUGACUGGGAAAGACUUGGAAAGAGCCAGGGCCACCAUGGACUGUCACAACCAACGGGGUUCUCCAAAGGGUCACCUAUGCAUACAGAAUUCAAUACCCAGCUCUGACAGUUUUUUUUUUUUCAAAAUCUCUAAGGUAUAGAGAUAAAAAUGGGUCAAACAAUAUCUUAAAGACAGUGACUGAGAAUUUUCCAAACUGUCAAAAAACAUUUUUCUUUGUACUCCUAAAAUGUUUUUUUUUAACUUUAGGUUCCCCCAUACAACUGCAGGUUUGUUACACAAGUAAACUUGUGUCAUAGCACUUUACUGUACAAAUUAUUUUAUCAACUAGUUUUUUGCCCUCCAUCACCCACGUUUUAAGACUACUGUGCCCAUAGUUAGUUCAUUCCGGUGGAUUUCUGGUCCCACCGCCUUUAAGAAUGAAGCAUGCGGACCUUCCCGGUGAGUGUUACAGCUCUUAAAGGUGGCAAGGACCCACAGUUAGCAACAGCAAGAUUUAUUGUGAAGAUGUGAACAGCAAAACAACGACGCUCCCACACGCUGGAAGGGUACCGAGCAAAUUGACUUUGCUGGCUAACGGGUGGGCAGCUUUUAUUCCCUUAUUUGGCCCUGCCCAUGUCCUGCAGAUUGGUCCAUUUUACAGAGUGCUGAUUGGUCCAUUUUACAGAGUGCUGAUUGGUCCAUUUUACAGAGUGCUGAUUGGUCCAUUUUUACAGAAUGCUGAUUGGUGCAUUUACAAUCCUCUAGCUAGACAGAAAAGUUCUCCAAGUCCCCACUGGACACAGAAGCCCAGCUGGCUUCACCUCUCACUAGUACCCUUAUUUUUUUCUGAUCUUUUCUCUCCUCCCACUGUCCAUCCUCCAAAAGGCCCCAGUGUGUGUUGUUCCCCUCUAUGUGUCCAAGUGUUCUCAUCAUUUAGCUCCCAUUUAUAAGUGAGGACAUGUGGUAUUUGGUUUUCUGUUCCUGUGUUAAUUUGCUAAGUAUAAUGCCCUCCAGCUUCAUCCAUGUCCCUGCAAAGGACAUGAUCUUGUUCUUUUUUAUGGCUGCCUAGUAUUCC